UGGGGAAUAUUGCACAAUGGGCGCAAGCCUGAUGCAGCCAUGCCGCGUGUGUGAAGAAGGCCUUCGGGUUGUAAAGCACUUUCAGCGAGGAGGAAGGUGGGUGAACUUAAUACGUUCAUCAAUUGACGUUACUCGCAGAAGAAGCACCGGCUAACUCCGUGCCAGCAGCCGCGGUAAUACGGAGGGUGCAAGCGUUAAUCGGAAUUACUGGGCGUAAAGCGCACGCAGGCGGUUUGUUAAGUCAGAUGUGAAAUCCCCGGGCUCAACCUGGGAACUGCAUUUGAAACUGGCAAGCUAGAGUCCCGUAGAGGGGGGUAGAAUUCCAGGUGUAGCGGUGAAAUGCGUAGAGAUCUGGAGGAAUACCGGUGGCGAAGGCGGCCCCCUGGACGAAGACUGACGCUCAGGUGCG
Molecule: ribosomal RNA, 409 nt
Filed under: uncultured bacterium
Lineage: Bacteria
Description: partial 16S ribosomal RNA
Rfam family: Bacterial small subunit ribosomal RNA
Source: RNAcentral